ACUAAAUAGAUACCCGGGUAGUCCACGCCCUAAACGAUGAUUACUCGAUGUUGGCGAUAUACAGUCAGCGUCUUAGCGAAAAAGCGUUAAGUAAUCCACCUGGGGAGUACGCUCGCAAGGGUGAAACUCAAAGGAAUUGACGGGGGUCCGCACAAGCGGUGGAGUAUGUGGUUUAAUUCGAUGAUACGCGAAGAAUCUUACCAAGGUUAGAAUGUUUUUGGUACCGCUGCUGAAAGGUGGCUUUCUCUUCGGAGACCGAUUGCAAGGUGCUGCAUGGCUGUCGUCAGCUCGUGUCGUGAGAUGUUGGGUUAACGUCCCGCAACGAGCGCAACCCCUAUUAUUAGUUGCCAUCAGGUUAAGCUGGGGACUCUAGUAAAACCUGCCUGCGCAAGCAGAGAGGAA
RNAcentral lists this ribosomal RNA (402 nucleotides) under uncultured bacterium. RNAcentral describes it as "bacterial SSU rRNA". It matches the Rfam family "Bacterial small subunit ribosomal RNA", at positions 772 to 1171 of the family's 1533-position model. The record is from RNAcentral.